GAACGGUGUCUUCGGACACAGUGGCGGACGGGUGAGUAACGCGUGAGAAUCUGCCAUCAGGUCUGGGACAACCACUGGAAACGGUGGCUAAUACCGGAUGUGCCCUUCGGGGUGAAAGGUUAACUGCCUGUUGAUGAGCUCGCGUCUGAUUAGCUAGUUGGUGUGGUAAGAGCGCACCAAGGCGACGAUCAGUAGCUGGUCUGAGAGGACGAUCAGCCACACUGGGACUGAGACACGGCCCAGACUCCUACGGGAGGCAGCAGUGGGGAAUUUUCCGCAAUGGGCGAAAGCCUGACGGAGCAAUACCGCGUGAGGGAGGAAGGCUCUUGGGUCGUAAACCUCUUUUCUCAGGGAAGAACACAAUGACGGUACCUGAGGAAUAAGCAUCGGCUAACUCCGUGCCAGCAGCCGCGGUAAUACGGAGGAUGCAAGCGUUAUCCGGAAUGAUUGGGCGUAAAGCGUCCGCAGGUGGCUAUGUAAGUCUGCUGUUAAAGAGUCUAGCUCAACUAGAUAAGAGCAGUGGAAACUACAAGGCUAGAGUGCGUUCGGGGCAGAGGGAAUUCCUGGUGUAGCGGUGAAAUGCGUAGAGAUCAGGAAGAACACCGGUGGCGAAGGCGCUCUGCUAGGCCGCAACUGACACUGAGGGACGAAAGCUAGGGGAGCGAAUGGGAUUAGAUACCCCAGUAGUCCUAGCCGUAAACGAUGGAUACUAGGCGUGGCUUGUAUCGACCCGAGCCGUGCCGUAGCUAACGCGUUAAGUAUCCCGCCUGGGGAGUACGCCGGCAACGGUGAAACUCAAAGGAAUUGACGGGGGCCCGC
RNAcentral lists this ribosomal RNA (819 nucleotides) under Nostoc sp. 'Nephroma bellum cyanobiont' 35_Ahti_&_Djan-Chekar_60277. RNAcentral's name for it is "bacterial SSU rRNA". It matches the Rfam family "Bacterial small subunit ribosomal RNA", at positions 64 to 924 of the family's 1533-position model. The record is from RNAcentral. Lineage: Bacteria; Bacillati; Cyanobacteriota; Cyanophyceae; Nostocales; Nostocaceae.